This 497-nucleotide ribosomal RNA is filed under the name uncultured bacterium. RNAcentral's name for it is "partial 16S ribosomal RNA". It matches the Rfam family "Bacterial small subunit ribosomal RNA", at positions 28 to 507 of the family's 1533-position model. The record is from RNAcentral.
GAUGAACGCUGGCGGCGUGCCUAAUACAUGCAAGUCGAGCGAACGGACGAGAAGCUUGCUUCUCUGAUGUUAUCGGCGGACGGGUGAGUAACACGUGGAUAACCUACCUAUAAGACUGGGAUAACUUCGGGAAACCGGAUCUACUACCGGAUAAUAUUUUGAACCGCAUGGUUCAAAAGUUAAAGACGGUCUUGCUGUCUCUUAUAGAUGGAUCCGCGCUGCAUUAGCUAGUUGGUAAGGUAACGGCUUACCAAGGCAACGAUGCAUAGCCGACCUGAGAGGGUGAUCGGCCACACGGGAACUGAGACACGGUCCAGACUCCUACGGGAGGCAGCAGUAGGGAAUAUUCCGCAAUGGGCGAAAGCCUGACGGAGCAACGCCGCGUGAGUGAUGAAGGUCUUCGGAUCGUAAAACUCUGUUAUUAGGGAAGAAAAUAUGUGUAAGUAACUGUGCACAUCUUGACGGUACCUAAUCAGAAAGCCACGGCUAACUACGUG